UACAGAGGUCCCAAGCGUUAUCCGGAUUCACUGGGUUUAAAGGGUGCGUAGGCGGGCAGGUAAGUCAGUGGUGAAAUCUUCGAGCUUAACUCGGAAACUGCCUUUGAUACUAUCUGUCUUGAAUAUUGUGGAGGUAAGCGGAAUAUGUCAUGUAGCGGUGAAAUGCUUAGAUAUGACAUAGAACACCCAUUGCGAAGGCAGCUUACUACGCAUAUAUUGACGCUGAGGCACGAAAGCGUGGGGAUCAAACAGG
Molecule: ribosomal RNA, 253 nt
Filed under: uncultured bacterium
Lineage: Bacteria
Description: partial 16S ribosomal RNA
Rfam family: Bacterial small subunit ribosomal RNA
Source: RNAcentral